This 307-nucleotide ribosomal RNA is filed under the name uncultured bacterium. RNAcentral's name for it is "bacterial SSU rRNA". It matches the Rfam family "Bacterial small subunit ribosomal RNA", at positions 30 to 334 of the family's 1533-position model. The record is from RNAcentral.
AUUGAACGCUGGCGGUAUGCUUAACACAUGCAAGUCGAACGACGAAAGCUCCUUCGGGAGUUAUUAGAGUGGCGGACGGGUGAGUAAUGCGUAGGAAUCUGCCCUGCAGUGGGGGACAACCUGGGGGAAACUCAGGCUAAUACCGCAUACGUCUCACGAGAGAAAGCGGGCCUCUACUUGUAAGCUCGCGCUGCAGGAUGAGCCUACGUCGGAUUAGCUUGUUGGUGAGGUAAUAGCUCACCAAGGCAACGAUCCGUAGCUGGUCUGAGAGGAUGAUCAGCCACACUGGGACUGAGACACGGCCCAG